This 200-nucleotide ribosomal RNA is filed under the name uncultured bacterium. RNAcentral describes it as "partial 16S ribosomal RNA". It matches the Rfam family "Bacterial small subunit ribosomal RNA", at positions 8 to 212 of the family's 1533-position model. The record is from RNAcentral.
AGAGUUUGAUCAUGGCUCAGGAUUAACGCUGGCGGCGUGCGUAACACAUGCAAGUCGAACGUCCUGCUCGCAAGGGCAGGGAGUGGCGGACGGGUGAGUAACACAUGGGUGACCUAUCCACACGUGAGGAAUACCGGGGCGAAAGCGCCGACAAUACCGCAUAGGGCCUGCCUGCUUCGGCGGGCAGGGCAAAGGUGCUC